This 338-nucleotide unclassified non-coding RNA is filed under the name uncultured bacterium. RNAcentral describes it as "partial contains 16S ribosomal RNA and 16S-23S ribosomal RNA intergenic spacer region". The record is from RNAcentral.
GGCUCUCUCCUACGGGAGGCAGCAGUGGGACUCCUACGGGAGGCAGCAGUGGGACUCCUACGGGAGGCAGCAGUGGGACUCCUACGGGAGGCAGCAGUGGGACUCCUACGGGAGGCAGCAGUGGGACUCCUACGGGAGGCAGCAGUGGGACUCCUACGGGAGGCAGCAGUGGGGCCCACUCCUACGGGAGGCAGCAGUGGGACCCACUCCUACGGGAGGCAGCAGUGGGGCCCUGGCUCAGAACGAACGCUGGCGGCUGGCUCAGAACGAACGCUGGCGGUUGGCUCAGAACGAACGCUGGCGGCAGCAUUGGGACUCCUACAGGAGGCAGCUCUGGG